Molecule: non-coding RNA, 208 nt
Organism: Pelobates cultripes (western spadefoot toad)
Lineage: Eukaryota; Metazoa; Chordata; Amphibia; Anura; Pelobatidae
Source: the annotation of a GenBank genome assembly
UUUAAACACAGCUCUAGUGACUUUCUUCCUGACAACCACUAGAAAUGCUUCCGUGGGACUGACCGAGUAAAACGUGAUUCAAUGCUUUAUUAUGGAGCUGUGCAUAAGCAUCAGGUCCCCAAUGAACCUCUGAGAGCUCCUUUGGACUAUGAUUCCUCUGAUGGGCAAUAAAAGGAUCGUGACAGUAGCCCACCAACAUAGAUUGCUU